Molecule: ribosomal RNA, 467 nt
Filed under: uncultured bacterium
Lineage: Bacteria
Description: partial 16S ribosomal RNA
Rfam family: Bacterial small subunit ribosomal RNA
Source: RNAcentral
GACGAACGCUGGCGGCGUGCUUAACACAUGCAAGUCGAACGGAAAGGCCCUGCUUUUGUGGGGUGCUCGAGUGGCGAACGGGUGAGUAACACGUGAGUAACCUGCCCUUGACUUUGGGAUAACUUCAGGAAACUGGGGCUAAUACCGGAUAGGAGCUCCUGCUGCAUGGUGGGGGUUGGAAAGUUUCGGCGGUUGGGGAUGGACUCGCGGCUUAUCAGCUUGUUGGUGGGGUAGUGGCUUACCAAGGCUUUGACGGGUAGCCGGCCUGAGAGGGUGACCGGCCACAUGGGGACUGAGAUACGGCCCAGACUCCUACGGGAGGCAGCAGUGGGGAAUAUUGCACAAUGGGCGGAAGCCUGAUGCAGCAACGCCGCGUGCGGGAUGACGGCCUUCGGGCUGUAAACCGCUUUCGCCUGUGACGAAGCGUGAGUGACGGUAAUGGGUAAAGAAGCACCGGCUAACUACGU